GUCGCCGCGUUUGCCUCGUGAGUUUCAACCGUACGAUACAAAAGCAAAUACUGUUGUAUCCUGUACACAAAUUAAUCGACGGAACUUCAUCCGAAGAAAAUUAAAUCAUCGUUGUUAUUAUUUGAAAAUUUUUCAUCCCCCCCCUUUUUUUUUCAUUGCCAAACGUGAGAUUACAUCGUUCGCAUAGUGAUCCAUAUUUUGGUUCAUUUUUUUUUUCGUUGGAAACAAGAAGAGAAAAUUUCAUAGAGAAUAAUGAUAAAAAUGUAGAAAAAAAACGGAUGAAAUAUUGGAUUGAAUCAAAUUACUGUCGAAAACCGAUGUGUUAAAUAACGAAAGUACUCACUUUUAUUAUUAAUAACUGAUUAAAAUUUUCGUUACGAUUGAUGAUAAAAAGAAAAAAAAAAAGGAGAGGAAAGUAUAAACUUGCGUAGGAUAUGAUUCAAUGGAAUAAAGAACUGAGAAAGAAAAGAAACCCGCGAAUUGUGAUUAUCGUUAACGACUGUGAAUAAAAAAAAAACAAUAAGAAAAUAAAAAAAAAAAAUAUUGUGCGGAUCGGAGGUUAAAAACUUUACAAUAAAGUAACGCUCUGACUCGAAUUAAACAAUAAGACGAAUCGUUGUGCUGCGUUACGAUGAAAAAAACAGCGAAAAUCGAAAUGAAAGAAAAAUUGUGAAUUGAAGCAAUUUAUGUACACGAAUGUUACACACGCAUAACGGGAAGCGAGUAAUUAAAAACGGUUAAGGAUAAUGUGAUCGUCGUUCGAGACGGCCGUUAUUAAAGAAUGAAAAACAGAAUGUGAAGUAUUUAACCCUAUGCCAUGGGAAGAAGAACAACGGUCUCGGUAUAAUACUGAACAUAGCUGCUAGAGAACAACGGAUCCUACCGGCUUCCCAACCGACUGUGAAGGAAGAUUGUAUUACUGCGGCACGAGAUAUGUCCAUCGCGGAAGUUUGAUCGCUGCAUCGCUGCAUAGCCUCACCUCCCCCCUCUCCCCCCCAUCAAUAAUGCAUAAGGAUUCGCUGAUAUCUAGGGUCAAGAUGAACGGGACAGAAGGACCUCCUGAAGGCUGAGCUGAGAACGUCAAGGCCCGGAGAUGUGGCCGAGCACGGCACUUCAAGCUUCAGGCGUUCUCGUCCUUUUGACCGUUAUGACGACGACGGUCGUCGUUUCAGAGUCGGGAAGCACCGACGACGUCCCCAGGGAUAUCGUGAAAUCCGGGUAUAGGAAAGACGGGGAAGAAUACCCGGUUCACGGAACGCCUUCGACCACCGGUGUGGACAACGACGCCGAAGAGUAUUACAAGUUGAACGUAACCUCGCCAAGGUCAAACGUCGUGGACGACAUCCGCGCAGUUUCAACGUCCACCACGUUCACCACCGGCGCGGAACGAGACGAGGGGCAAAAAAUCGGCGAGGAGGGAGGCGCCGAGACGAUGAAAUUAUCAUCGGGAGAAGGUCGGGCGACUCGAGUCGAGGUUCGAAUGAACGAGUCGUUGGCUCCGUUUGAUCCGUCGGACGUUUUCCACUCGGCUCGUGAGAUUUCCGAUCAUGUAUUCACCGAGCAAACGAAUCACUCGAACGUUUACGACGUCCGAGAGAUUUCGGAGGUCGAAACCGAGCGCUCGGUGUCGGUAUUCGAUCAAAUAUUACCGCCCGAGAACGUGAGGGCGAUAUCUUUUCAAAUACCAAAUUCCGAGGGCGAUAAAAUCGUCGGGACGAAUUCGUUCGGCGGUAUUAAAAAUACGGAGAAACUCUCGGCCCUCGGCAAUGCCAAGGAGUCUUACUCGAAGACCUCGGCGGACUCGAUUAGCCAGAAGGACAAGAACGAGGGCGAUCGUUACAGACAGGAAAAAAAUCAACUCAACCAAAAAGCUCCGAAAGCCUUCUACGAAAUUAUAUCCGUACUGACCACGGAAGCCGCGGCUUCCCACGUGGAAUCCGACGACUCCGUCGAACCCGUCGCCCCACAAGGUAACGCGAGAAAAUUCAUCUUACCCACCAUACCCUGGAUGGCCAGUUCCAUGGGGAAAUACGGACCCUAUUUCGAAGACGGUCCCGAGGAUAAAAAUAUCACAGCGAGGAUCGGGUCCACCGUGUUGUUGGACUGCAAAAUCGGCAUGCUGCACAACAAAACGGUGACCUGGUUGCAGCGCAGCAAGGACUCGAUUCAUCUUUUAACGGUAGCUAGACAAGUUUACAGCGCCGAUCAACGCGUCAGUCUAAGUUUCAGAUAUCCCAGUAACUGGAGACUGCAAAUAUUAUACGCGUCCCUCAGAGAUUCCGGACUUUACGAAUGUCAAGUCGCUACGCAUCCGCCGAGGAUAAAAAAAAUCAACCUCACCGUUACCGCUCCAGUCUUGACGAUUGUUGACGACGCCGGGAGGGUCGUUGCGGCUGGGGAAAGACACCUCAAAGCCGGAAGUGUCUUGAAACUUAGUUGCGAGGCUAGAGACAUUCGCGAAGAGGUGGGAGAGACCGUCGUGUGGACCAGAGGUGAUGAAACACUCGCCGAGAACGUCAGUGAAAAUAAAACGACGGAAUUCAUCGGCGGGGAAGAAGUUCAAGUCGUAGUUAGUACAGUUUCCGUUGACAGAGCGACGCCGAGACACGCCGGUAACUACAGUUGUUCCGUACCCGGAAGAACAAGAUCUACAGUUGCGGUUCACGUGCUCAAUGGUGAACUUCCGGCCGCCGUACACGACGGCAACGGAGUAUCUCGCGCCGUCUUAAACUUGUGGUUGGUACAUCUCACCAUCAGUUACAUAUUCUCGAGAUGACAGUCUUAAGCCGGCGCGAAGCCAGCCAAGCAGGCAGGCAACCAACCACACAAUUCUAUACUCUACUUGUCUCAAGAGUCGACGUCGUCGUCGUCGUCGUCGUCUUCGUCGUCGUCGUCGUCGUCGUCGUGGUCGUGGUCUCCCCGUCCGCCGUAAGUCUCGAGACGCGAGCUGAGAGUUUAAACUUUGUCAAUUCGUCCUAUCUGGUUGUGGCGAAGGAAAAGGAAAAUUGAGAAAAUUACGGUAACCGGUGUGUUACGACGACCCCGCGGUAACUGACGCUGCUCCACGAGAAAAAGAUGAACCAACUUUUUUGAAAGAAUUAUGAAAAA
This is an RNA transcript of Athalia rosae (coleseed sawfly), 3108 nucleotides long. RefSeq lists it as uncharacterized. NCBI's taxonomy places the organism in Eukaryota, Metazoa, Arthropoda, Insecta, Hymenoptera, Athaliidae. The transcript has 12 exons. The record is from RefSeq and is a predicted model, not a curated record.